AUGAAGCACCUCCUCCUCCCCUCCCAGCUCCCUCUCCUCCUCCACGGCCGCGCCUCCAAGCCCCUACUCCUCCACGCCCGCCAGCGCCACCGCCACGCCCCAAGCGCGGCACCCGACGGCAACUCCGGCGACACCUCCACGGCCGCGUCCGAGCCGCCUCCCACGAACACCCAGCCCAGCCCGCCACCCUCCGCGCCUCCGUCCGCCAACUCCGGCACCACCAGCGUCAAGACCCGCCUCCGGUCGAGGAACCAGGCCCGCCGCGUCCAGGAGCCGUACCUGCCCCCGGUGGAGGUGAAGAUGAUGAGGGGCAAGGGCAAGGCGAACGCUUCCGCGGCGCCGAGGAGGGAGAAGGAGAAGCGGAAGAAGACGUGGGACGAGAUGAGCCUCGGCGAGAAGGCCUACGAGCUGUACGUCGGGGAGAAGGGCGCCCUCUUCUGGCUCAACAAGUUCGCCUACGCCUCCAUCUUCAUCAUGGCCGGCGCCUGGAUCCUGUUCCGCUUCGUCGGGCCCGCCACCGGGCUCUACCAGCUCGACGCGCCGCCGCUGGCGCCCACGGACGUCCUGCGCGGCUCCUAG
RNAcentral lists this ribosomal RNA (579 nucleotides) under Triticum aestivum (bread wheat). RNAcentral describes it as "partial small subunit ribosomal RNA". The record is from RNAcentral. Lineage: Eukaryota; Viridiplantae; Streptophyta; Magnoliopsida; Poales; Poaceae.